Molecule: small nuclear RNA, 106 nt
Organism: Nannospalax galili (Upper Galilee mountains blind mole rat)
Lineage: Eukaryota; Metazoa; Chordata; Mammalia; Rodentia; Spalacidae
Source: Ensembl
GUGCUCACUUCAGCAGUAUACAUACUAAGAUUGGAGCGGUACAGAGAAGAUUAGCAUGCCCCAGCACAAGGAUGACCUGCAAAUUCAGGAAGUAUCUCAUAUUUUC